UUGAACGCUGGCGGCAUGCUUUACACAUGCAAGUCGAACGGCAGCGGGGGCUUCGGCCCGCCGGCGAGUGGCGAGCGGGUGAGUAAUGCAUCGGAACGUACCCAGUCGUGGGGGAUAACUACGCGAAAGCGUGGCUAAUACCGCAUACGCCCUGAGGGGGAAAGCGGGGGACCUUCGGGCCUCGCGCGAUUGGAGCGGCUGAUGUCGGAUUAGCUAGUUGGUGGGGUAAAGGCCUACCAAGGCGACGAUCCGUAGCUGGUCUGAGGGGACGACCCGCCACACUGGAACUGAGACACGGUCCAGACUCCUACGGGAGGCAGCAGUGGGGAAUUUUGGACAAUGGGGGCAACCCUGAUCCAGCCAUUCCGCGUGAGUGAAGAAGGCCUUCGGGUUGUAAAGCUCUUUCAGCAGGAACGAAACGGUAGGCUUUAAUACGGUCUGCUAAUGACGGUACCUGCAGAAGAAGCACCGGCUAACUACGU
This 482-nucleotide ribosomal RNA is filed under the name uncultured bacterium. Its description in RNAcentral is "bacterial SSU rRNA". It matches the Rfam family "Bacterial small subunit ribosomal RNA", at positions 29 to 506 of the family's 1533-position model. The record is from RNAcentral.